This is a long non-coding RNA of Homo sapiens (human), 246 nucleotides long. RefSeq lists it as uncharacterized. The record is from RefSeq and is a predicted model, not a curated record. The transcript has 3 exons. Lineage: Eukaryota; Metazoa; Chordata; Mammalia; Primates; Hominidae.
CAGGCAUGAACCACCACACCUGAUCAUCUUUUCGUGAGCAUUUUUUAUAUCGAUGGUUCUCUGCUGGGAUGACUUUGCCUCCAAGCCCCUGCUGGCGGGGCUCUCAGACUGCAGCCCCUGUGAAUACUCACAUGCCCAGCAAUUGUCCCUUAGUGGACUGAUCAGGGCCACUGAAGGAUGAGAGAGAGAAUACAUGGCAGGAACAACGAUUUCAACUCCAAGGAGAGGUGUGAUGUGUGAAGGGGA